UACAGAGGGGGCAAGCGUGGUUCGGAAUUACUGGGCGUAAAGGGCGCGUAGGCGGCCUGUUAAGUCGAACGUGAAAUCCCCGGGCUCAACCCGGGAACUGCGUCCGAUACUGGCAGGCUUGAAUCCGGGAGAGGGAUGCGGAAUUCCAGGUGUAGCGGUGAAAUGCGUAGAUAUCUGGAGGAACACCGGUGGCGAAGGCGGCAUCCUGGACCGGCAUUGACGCUGAGGCGCGAAAGCCAGGGGAGCAAACGGG
RNAcentral lists this ribosomal RNA (253 nucleotides) under uncultured bacterium. Its description in RNAcentral is "partial 16S ribosomal RNA". It matches the Rfam family "Bacterial small subunit ribosomal RNA", at positions 524 to 776 of the family's 1533-position model. The record is from RNAcentral.